This is a long non-coding RNA of Oncorhynchus masou masou (cherry salmon), 378 nucleotides long. RefSeq lists it as uncharacterized. The transcript is spliced from 3 exons. Lineage: Eukaryota; Metazoa; Chordata; Actinopteri; Salmoniformes; Salmonidae. The record is from RefSeq and is a predicted model, not a curated record.
GGCACUGCAGAGGCUAAGAAGACGCAUGGAAACUCGAAAAUAAACAUAAUUCAACUUGUAGACCAGAUUUGAAAAGGAAAUAAUAAAACCAGAAGCUCAGAUGUCAGACACCGAGGCUGCCAGUACCUCUGGAUCGAUUGUCCAUGUGUUGGAUGAUGCACAACCGUUGGUCAGAACUGACAGUGUUUACUUGACCAAAGCUAUGCUUGGAUACAAGACUGAUGACUCAAUAACUAGUAUUGACAACAGUGAAGACGUUAUGUCCCAGGGCCAUCAGGAUCAUCAGAGGAAGGCAAUUUCUAUGAAGAAAAUCUGACCGGUAUGCCUAUACCUUACAUACACAUGGACCUAUUCGUAUCUGAUAUGUCAGUGCAUUUU